Long non-coding RNA from Solanum pennellii, 697 nucleotides. RefSeq lists it as uncharacterized. The record is from RefSeq and is a predicted model, not a curated record. NCBI's taxonomy places the organism in Eukaryota, Viridiplantae, Streptophyta, Magnoliopsida, Solanales, Solanaceae. The transcript is spliced from 2 exons.
AAUCCUUUUCGCUUUAAGUAUUAGGGGUUGGGGGGAGAAAAGUUUGAAAAAAAAAAAAGAGUUGAAAUUUUUUGACAUUAGAGAUAGAUAGUAGGAAGAACAAACCAUUAUUCUUACAUUUGAAGUAGUAAAGUUCAGAUAAAUCUUAUGGGUUGCUCAUCCGGUUAUUCAAGUUUUCCCGUUAGAGUCUUUGGCUUGUGGUGUUGGAAGAAGCUCAUCGUAGUUCAGCUGCCCAGAAAAAGCAUUUCGAGAGAGUCACAAAGGAUCCAACCCUUUCUUUCGAGUCGGUCGGCCCUUGAAACUGAUGAACAGGUGUCGGGAAAGCCAUACAAGGCUGCAAGUUGACUUCUCAAGUCCCUAAAGCCCCAAAAAAGGGCUAUAUACCUGAUGUAUACACCGGUAUACGAGGAAAACUAAUGAAAUUCAGGUGUAAACGCAGCAGAAUACAAAAAGGAGAGGAGAGAAUGUACAAGAUGUUGAAUAAAUUAGGCUCAUAUACAGAUUAAAAUGACUAUAUACAGUGUGAUACUUUUUGUGUAUACAUCUGGCUCAACAAAGAAGAAAAGGCCUGACUUGGCCCAAAUUUGCAUCAGAUUUGGAAUUCGGGCAAAAACUUAAAUUUGAAUCUACUCUUCCUUUACUCUUACUUAUUUAUUUAUUAUGUUAACUAAUCAUUUUAUUUGAUUUUGGUCUUUAU